Molecule: long non-coding RNA, 3079 nt
Organism: Canis lupus familiaris (dog)
Lineage: Eukaryota; Metazoa; Chordata; Mammalia; Carnivora; Canidae
Exons: 4
Source: RefSeq, a predicted model, not a curated record
ACUUCCCCACAAGCCCUCACUGUUCUCUCCAAGGGAGUAAACCAGGAGCCCAGAAGGAAGAGGCUGCGUGUACAGAAGGAGGCUGACUGGGAUGGCCUGAGAGCUGGGGACUGGCAGUCCAGAAGUGGCUUCCAUCAGCAUUCCCUGGAGCCAAAGGUGGAUGGCAAGAGGGAGGCGCUGGAGCUGGAGCCCUUCUUCUCUUUUCAGGCUGUCCGCUCUUCAGAACUGCCCCAUGGCAGCAGCUCGAAGCCCCGCUGGUGGCGCACGGGGAGACAGACUGCGGGCUACCGACUUGAGAAGAUCCAGCCCCAGACGACUGUCAGAUCCAUGGCAGGAGACAAACAGGCGGCAACAGUCAGGCACCACAAGGACAAUUUAUUACCCAAAGCAGUUUGAGGAAUUCCAAGCAUUGGUCACAGCUCUCCCCAGUCACAAGAAAGCCAGAGCCUCUUCAAACUCACCCUCCACUCCCAGCUGAAGGCAAGGAUUAAAAGGCUGCAACCCAAGUUAAGUCACAGCUGUAAUAUCCUCAUUCUUGACUAAUAAUCUCAAAGUCACAAAUGCGCAUAAAGUGAUUUGGACCCAAAUCGUGUUUACAGAGGAAAGCUCCACGAUUAAAAUACAAUUGGAAAGAUCAUUCCAAGAGAAAAGAUAACAAGAGUGUUAACAGGUAAGGAGGAGGGAUUACUGUUUAUAAUGAUCAGAAAUAAAUGGAAUUGCCUAUCAUCAUCAUCAGGGAGGGUGAAGGGAAUGCUAAGCCUGGGGCUGGAGGGGGAGGACAGGUACACUGGCCAAACCCUCCUGGGCAGGUCUCCCAGGAGGACUCCCCUUGACUGCUGCCCUGAGGAAGGAGCCUCCUGGUUGCCUAGCGACAAAGGACCCCCCCCCCCCCAGGUGACUGCCUCUGAAUCUGCAGAUGGGUUGGUGGGGGGAGGGGGGUGUUGGGAAGACAGUUUAGGUUACACAGUUCUCAGGAGUUGAAGAAGAGGCAAUCUUCAAGCUGUACUGAGAACUUCCCUAUUUCUACCUUUGGAGGAUGUGCAAGCUGGUUGGCCCUCAUGUGGGAUUUCAGUUCGUGGGUUUUUUUAAAUUGACUUAAAACUUAUCCUAGACCCAAGAAGGUCAGUCCCUUAAAGUCUCCUUUUAUCAUCAAACUAAAUAGCACUUAUAUCUAGAAACACUGUGCUCUAAAAAUGGCUGACACAUUCAUGUCACAAACUGAGGUUUUCGUGAAAAUCAAUUUCUGUGCCAGUCAAGUCUGGAUAAAGUUAUCUCUUCAUAAUUUAGCUCCCACCCCCCAACUGGCCAGUCACAGUGGAACCAGGAACCCAAGGGGCAGAUUUCUUUCCUGAUUUAGGCACUCCAGGAAGAAGGGGAGUUCCCAGCACCUGCCUAACCUGGCUCCAUUUGCUGAACUUUGCUCUGGAUGAGUAGGUCACUCUGGCUGCAAAUUCCCCCAAACUCUCCCUACUGUGUUUUUAAGGCACACCAAUUCCUCUGUGUAAGGCUCUCUGCUUAUAAUGAAUUAUUUUAAUUAUUUCUGCUACUCAAAAGAAACUUCUGCAUCAAAGCCCACCUGCCCUGAGAUACUGGCUCUGUGUGGGGGUGGGAGGAUGAGGGCAGAGCCCAAUUAAUAUUAGGGAUUCUGGUCGUUGGGGUCGCACUUGAGCAUGACUUUCAACCCCGUUCCCUUUCUGGCUGUUUCAAAGGCCUCCAGAGCUUUCUCCAGAGGAAACCUAUGAGUAACUAAGGGCUUUACAUUCACAGCCUUGGACGCAAGCAUUGAAAUUGCCAUCGGCCACCUGUAAAAGAUCACAAGUGAUACAUUCAACCUACAGGAGGAAAGAACCAGAUCCCCCAAACUGCCAAGCUCGAGAUAGGCCUGGUCGUGAUUAUUUAUAGUGCUGUGGUUCUACAAGGUCUAUUCUACAAACAAGCAAUGAUAGAAGUGACCUUAUGGCUUGCAAUCUGGGAGUAUGGAGUCUGUUCCCAAAGGCCUCCACCCCUCUGCAAUGUCUAUCUUGAAGCCUAGAAUUCCUUUGGCAUGAAGGCAUAAGGCAGAUAGAAGCCACUGUGAAAAGGCAGAUAAGACUCAGAGAGGCAGCCCAGGAUAAUUCAUCCAUAUCUCGUUGCAGCAUGGCUUGGCAAGAGCUUAUGGGGAAAGGGCACUCUGCUGAGGGAAUAGCCACAGAUCGUAAAGGUGGGAGAAGGGACACUGGUGUGGAAGAUGGUCCUGGGAAGUUUCCCCGGUUGGGGAGGGGCUAGAGCCACACAACAUGAGGUGGGGUGAACUAAGACCCUCUCAUUACCCAGGGUGGGCCCUGGGGUGGAAACUAAGGGACUUAAGUUCUUGCUGCUGUCCCCCUUUCCCUCCUUCUUCCCUUUAAAGGGGGAAAAUGAAGAGCCAGCCACUUGAAGAAAUGAAAAAGAGAGGGCCUGUGUGAUGAGGGGCAGACCACCAAGAAAAACAUGCUUCAAUACCCCACCACCCCCCACUCCCCCUAUUCCCUCUGCCCUCCUGUUUUUUAACCAGGAGUGAUGCUCUCUCCUUAGAUGCCUACCAUAACAUGUGGCUGCCAGUGUGGCUAGAGGAGUGCUCCUCAUGAAUAAACAGGAGAGACUCUUGCUCCCAGAGGCCAUGCAGGGGUCUUGCAGGCUGCUUACCACCCUGUGCGGCUCACCCACAGCAUACUCACGUGUUGCAAUAUCGAAACACGCCCUUGAUAUCCACCUCCCGGGUGCUUGCGUGUGUUAGGGGCACCGUGGUCAUCUCGGAGCCCAGCCCUACGAGCACCAGGGUCCCCCCAGCACGAGUAGCCUGGAGGGGAGAUAUGAACAAGAUAACCCAGAAGAUCAGAAAGUGCAGGCUUCUCCAUUCAAAAUGACUUCUGUCAUUCGCCUCCGCAAACAAUCCCAAAUACCAGCAGCUUUGCAAAACAAGGAUUUAGAAGCUGGCAUCACUCUGUUGUCCCCUGUAUGAAAUGUUCCAGAAGAACCACAUCUGAUGGCAGCAGCUGCUUGGCUGUCCCUGGACGGGUCAUGAUGAGAGAGAGCCUGACUUCUAAGCAGUUGAUUAAAU